This 180-nucleotide non-coding RNA is filed under the name Lachnospiraceae bacterium. RNAcentral describes it as "6S RNA". It matches the Rfam family "6S / SsrS RNA". Rfam says of the family: E. coli 6S RNA was the first non coding RNA to be sequenced, but its function was unknown until recently. It consists of 184 nucleotides that fold into an extended hairpin structure with a large single-stranded internal bulge. Lineage: Bacteria; Bacillati; Bacillota; Clostridia; Lachnospirales; Lachnospiraceae. The record is from RNAcentral.
CCUAACCUGAAAUGUUCGAUAAUUCUUGAUGUUUUGAACCUACAUUACUUUAAACGGAAUUCCUACAUCGUCAUACGGAUGUCAUGCCUCAUUUUCAGUGGACGGCAGAAGUAUGAUUGCGGUUAUCCACCUGGCGUCAGCUAGGAGUCAAAAUUCAAGAACCGGCAUUUCGGGGUCAGU